RNAcentral lists this ribosomal RNA (245 nucleotides) under uncultured Anaerobranca sp. RNAcentral's name for it is "partial 16S ribosomal RNA". It matches the Rfam family "Bacterial small subunit ribosomal RNA", at positions 524 to 768 of the family's 1533-position model. The record is from RNAcentral. Lineage: Bacteria; Bacillati; Bacillota; Clostridia; Eubacteriales; Proteinivoracaceae.
UACGUAGGGGGCGAGCGUUGUCCGGAAUCACUGGGCGUAAAGGGCGUGUAGGUGGUUAAAUAAGUCAGGUGUGAAAACUGUGGGCUCAACCCAGAGGCUGCAUCUGAAACUGAUAAACUUGAGGGUAGGAGAGGGAAGUGGAAUUCCUAGUGUAGCGGUGAAAUGCGUAGAUAUUAGGAGGAACACCAGUGGCGAAGGCGACUUUCUGGCCUAACCCUGACGCUGAGGCGCGAAAGCGUGGGGAG